UACAGGGGGGGCAAGCGUUGUUCGGAAUUACUGGGCGUAAAGGGCUCGUAGGCGGCCAACUAAGUCACACGUGAAAUCCCCAGGCUUAACCUGGGAACUGCGUGUGAUACUGGAUGGCUUGAAUUCGGGAGAUGGAUGCAGAAUUCCAGGUGUAGCGGUGAAAUGCGUAGAUAUCUGGAGGAAUACCGGUGGCGAAGGCGGCAUCCUGGACCGACAUUGACGCUGAUGAGCGAAAGCUAGGGGAGCAAACGGG
This 253-nucleotide ribosomal RNA is filed under the name uncultured bacterium. Its description in RNAcentral is "partial 16S ribosomal RNA". It matches the Rfam family "Bacterial small subunit ribosomal RNA", at positions 524 to 776 of the family's 1533-position model. The record is from RNAcentral.